This 438-nucleotide ribosomal RNA is filed under the name uncultured bacterium. RNAcentral's name for it is "bacterial SSU rRNA". It matches the Rfam family "Bacterial small subunit ribosomal RNA", at positions 957 to 1391 of the family's 1533-position model. The record is from RNAcentral.
GAACGCGAAGAACCUUACCAGCUUUUGACAUGUCCGGUUUGAUCGACAGAGAUGUCUUUCUUCAGUUCGGCUGGCCGGAACACAGGUGCUGCAUGGCUGUCGUCAGCUCGUGUCGUGAGAUGUUGGGUUAAGUCCCGCAACGAGCGCAACCCUCGCCCCUAGUUGCCAUCAUUCAGUUGGGAACUCUAGGGGGACUGCCGGUGAUAAGCCGCGAGGAAGGUGGGGAUGACGUCAAGUCCUCAUGGCCCUUACAGGCUGGGCUACACACGUGCUACAAUGGCGGUGACAAUGGGAUGCGGAGGGGUGACCCCGAGCAAAUCUCAAUGAAGCCGUCUCAGUUCGGAUUGGAGUCUGCAACUCGACUCCAUGAAGUUGGAAUCGCUAGUAAUCGUGGAUCAGCAUGCCACGGUGAAUACGUUCCCGGGUCUUGUACACACC